This 58-nucleotide transfer RNA is filed under the name Staphylococcus aureus. RNAcentral's name for it is "tRNA-Arg". It matches the Rfam family "tRNA", at positions 8 to 62 of the family's 71-position model. From Rfam's summary of the family: Transfer RNA (tRNA) molecules are approximately 80 nucleotides in length. Their secondary structure includes four short double-helical elements and three loops (D, anti-codon, and T loops). The record is from RNAcentral. Lineage: Bacteria; Bacillati; Bacillota; Bacilli; Caryophanales; Staphylococcaceae.
UAGCUCAGCUGGAUAGAGCAAUGGCCUUCUAAGCCAUCGGUCGGGGGUUCGAAUCCCU